This 305-nucleotide unclassified non-coding RNA is filed under the name plant metagenome. Its description in RNAcentral is "partial contains 5.8S ribosomal RNA, internal transcribed spacer 2, and large subunit ribosomal RNA". The stretch from base 1 to 105 matches the Rfam family "5.8S ribosomal RNA", at positions 50 to 154 of the family's 154-position model. The record is from RNAcentral.
GAAAUGUGAUAAGUAAUGUGAAUUGCAGAAUUCAGUGAAUCAUCGAAUCUUUGAACGCACAUUGCGCCCGCCAGUAUUCUGGCGGGCAUGCCUGUUCGAGCGUCAUUUCAACCAUCAAGCCCCCGGCUUGUGUUGGGGACCUGCGGCUGCCCGCAGGCCCUGAAAAACAGUGGCGGGCUCGCUGUCACACCGAGCGUAGUAGCAUACAUUCUCGCUCAGGGCGUGCUGCGGGUUCCGGCCGUUAAACGACCUUCAUAACCCAAGGUUGACCUCGGAUCAGGUAGGAAGACCCGCUGAACUUAAGC